Molecule: transfer RNA, 67 nt
Filed under: Hymenolepis microstoma
Lineage: Eukaryota; Metazoa; Platyhelminthes; Cestoda; Cyclophyllidea; Hymenolepididae
Description: tRNA-Asn
Source: RNAcentral
GUCUAUAUAGAUUAUGUUGUAAAUCAUGAUGCUGUUAACUUCAAGAAGGAAAAUAUUCCUGUAGUCG